Molecule: long non-coding RNA, 1116 nt
Organism: Maniola jurtina (meadow brown)
Lineage: Eukaryota; Metazoa; Arthropoda; Insecta; Lepidoptera; Nymphalidae
Exons: 2
Source: RefSeq, a predicted model, not a curated record
GUCGCGGAAGCCGCGAAUGUAAAUAUUGUAUAUAGCAACACCGAUACUCUAUGAUGGUGACACGGUUGCACACUAGCCUGUCAAGGACAGUGGUUUCCAGUGGCUGGUACAUCGGUCACUUACAAGUGGCAGGAUUGAAGGUGAGAGUAACAGAUUGCAAUAAUAGAUUCAUAAUAAAUAACUAGAAUCUGGGCGAUUUGCUUCGCUAUCUGAAGACGCAGUAGUUAGUCUUCCCCCCUACAGAGAUAUGCGACAUGGUGGAGAUGCUGGGAUUUGUUGCAAAUCAAAUAUUUGCCAAUUUUAAGAAUUCAAAAUAUUCUUAAUUCGUGUUUAUUGAGAAAUUGCAAUUUGUUACUCUCAACGCCACGUAUCAUUCGCUAACGAAACUAAGAUUGUCGAGUCUGUCUCAUAGUAAAAUGAGCUAUUUGCUUAUAAAAUUGAGAUUGGUUACGUAAUAAUAUUAUGAUGGGAAUAUUUUACGCGGAUAGUAUGAAUGCAGAAUCAUUUUAGUGUGAUUUUUUAGAUAAAUGAAAGUUGAUUGAUUGAACGAUUGAUUGGUUGAACCGGACGUGGUAAUUAGAAAAUGGCGUCUAGGAUUAAAAGUUAAAACAUAGGUGAUGGGUAUAUUAUACUCUUUGUCUAUGAUAUUGUGGUUAUGAAUGCGUGAUGUACGCUAAGCUUUAUUCAUGGAACAUAGACUACUAGUUAAUCUAUGGUCAUAGAGUAUAUCAAUAUAUAGUGAGCUGUGGAGUCUGUGGACGAUAGACUUUUUAGUCAUUACAUUUAUUAAAUGUGGUAAAACGUAUAAAUAGACAAGUAAUUUAGUUUAAUAAAGAGGAUUAAUUAUAAGAUUAAUUUUGAGACAAAUUUCGGAAUCCGUACGUAAAGAUAAAAGAGUUGAGUAUCAUAUUUCAAAUUUGCCGCGUAAAUACACAAGUUCAAGUUCGAUCCUGUAUCAGACAUCGGCCAUUUUUAUUUUUCUUACAAAGAGACGCGAGUUUGGAAAACCAUAAAAAACGCUGAAUCAGUAUAAAGUUAAUAUAAUUAAACGGGUAAGCACAUUCGUUUUGUACAUUAUAAGACGACCAUUAUAUUUCUAUCGUUUGAUAAUUUGAG